GAUCAUGGCGUCAGGAUGAACGCUGGCGGCGUGCUUAACACAUGCAAGUCGAACGAUGAAGCCCAGCUUGCUGGGUGGAUUAGUGGCGAACGGGUGAGUAACACGUGAGUAACCUGCCCCUCACUCUGGGAUAAGCACUGGAAACGGUGUCUAAUACCGGAUACGAACUUCGGCCGCAUGGUCAGGAGUUGGAAAGAAUUUUGGUGGGGGAUGGACUCGCGGCCUAUCAGCUUGUUGGUGAGGUAAUGGCUCACCAAGGCGACGACGGGUAGCCGGCCUGAGAGGGUGACCGGCCACACUGGGACUGAGACACGGCCCAGACUCCUACGGGAGGCAGCAGUGGGGAAUAUUGCACAAUGGGCGCAAGCCUGAUUGCAGCAACGCCGCGUGAGGGAUGACGGCCUUCGGGUUGUAAACCUCUUUUAGUAGGGAAGAAGCGAAAGUGACGGUACCUGCAGAAAAAGCACCGGCUAACUACGUGCCAGCCGCUGC
This 492-nucleotide ribosomal RNA is filed under the name uncultured bacterium. Its description in RNAcentral is "bacterial SSU rRNA". It matches the Rfam family "Bacterial small subunit ribosomal RNA", at positions 15 to 518 of the family's 1533-position model. The record is from RNAcentral.